Molecule: ribosomal RNA, 253 nt
Filed under: uncultured bacterium
Lineage: Bacteria
Description: partial 16S ribosomal RNA
Rfam family: Bacterial small subunit ribosomal RNA
Source: RNAcentral
UACGGGGGGGGCAAGCGUUGUUCGGAAUUACUGGGCGUAAAGGGCUCGUAGGUGGCCAACUAAGUCAGACGUGAAAUCCCUCAGCUUAACUGGGGAACUGCGUCUGAUACUGGAUGGCUUGAGUUUGGGAGAGGGAUGCGGAAUUCCAGGUGUAGCGGUGAAAUGCGCAGAUAUCGGGAGGAACACCUAUGGCGAAGGCAGCUCGCUGGGACGUUACUGACGCUGAGACGCGAAAGCGUGGGGAGCAAACAGG